Long non-coding RNA from Gordionus sp. m RMFG-2023, 224 nucleotides. RefSeq lists it as uncharacterized. The transcript has 3 exons. The record is from RefSeq and is a predicted model, not a curated record. Lineage: Eukaryota; Metazoa; Nematomorpha; Gordioida; Chordodea; Parachordodidae.
CUGGCCUGAAGGGAUGAGGAGGCAUGCUCAAACAACGUUUCCUUAAGAUAUAAAAUGAAAUAUUUUGGGCUCGCCCAAAAUAGCCAUCCCCAACGACCAAAUUAACUUCCAUUUCUCAAGAAGACAUUCUAAAUACGUUAAAAGCCAUGAACAUGACUAAAUAUUGGAAAUGUAAGCACGUUAUAUGUGUGAGUUCUAAACAACUCGACGAAGCUCUACUUAAA